Molecule: long non-coding RNA, 1083 nt
Organism: Hippopotamus amphibius kiboko
Lineage: Eukaryota; Metazoa; Chordata; Mammalia; Artiodactyla; Hippopotamidae
Exons: 3
Source: RefSeq, a predicted model, not a curated record
GGCGGAAGUCUCCAUGAAAAAGUCUACACUUCCAAUUUUCCGCGCAGCACCUCCGUCUUGGCCUCCGGCCCCAACCCCUCACCUUCCGGGUGGGCACAGGACGGAAGGAGCCAUCCUACCAACCCAGCUGUCGCCCCCCCUCCCGGCAACAAAACCCCAAAAGGUUUCCCCCUUUGCCCGGUUUCAACAUGGCGGCCCACGCACAAGCCGACACACCGACCAGGCCAAAUUAUCCUCGUCCUUCUUGCCAGGGUGGGCCCUGCUCCCACCAAACCGCUCCCGCUCACCUCAGCAAGGCUCGGGCUUCCUUUCCCACGGAGGAUGGUACCGAGCUGGAAGCAACGGGAAGAUUCUUCCUCCCUGACUGACCCGACCUUUACAUCGAAGGCAGCAGAUUCGUCACGGGCCCUGUUUCCGGUUUUGCUUUUAAGAAAUUUACUUACAUGCACUGAGCAUCGAAGGUAUACCGUCUCCGAAGAGGAUGAACUUUCCGGUUUUCUAAAAUUUUUCCCGAAGACAGAAACUGCUAAAUUGAACACUUAAGUUGAGAGACUGUCGAAUGUGCAGCUAGUUGUCUGGGAACCGCUGCAUUUCCCUACGUACCGAAGAGAUGUUUCAGCGCCGUGCGGGUUUUAGUUCUCAGGCUGACUUUGAGAAUUUGAUUAAUGCUGUAGUUUUCUCAGAAAAUGCAUAUGCCGGUUCACAAGGGAACUUUGCAUGUCAGUAUAUUCGGGUAGAUUACGGCUUGUGGUACAACUUGAAAUGUCUUGAUCCAAUUGUGCUUUUCUUGAUGAGUGUCUCGUGAUUUCUUCAGCCACUCAUUUUCUGAUUAAUGCUUACAAGUGGCUCAUUUCUGUGAACCGUUGAUCUCAUUUUGAUUCCAGUCCUAUUCUUAGAAGGGGACAUGGGUUUGAUCCCUGAUCCAGGAAGAUCCCACAUGCCAAGGAGAAACUAAGUCCGUGUGCCACAACUAUUGAGUUGUGUGCCACAACUACUGAAGCCCCCGUGCCUAGAGUCCAUGCUCCACAACAACAGAAGCCACUGCAAUGAGAAGCCCGAGCACCACAAUGAAGAAUAGCCCCC